AUCUCAUGGUGAAGGUACCUAUGAAGCAAUUCCAUGAAUCUUUCCCAUGCCUCAUAUAAGGAUUCAUCAUCCAUUUGUUGAAAAGUGGUGGUCUCAUUUCGUAGUU
This is a small nucleolar RNA of Gossypium raimondii (Peruvian cotton), 106 nucleotides long. It matches the Rfam family "Plant small nucleolar RNA R71". Rfam says of the family: R71 is a member of the C/D box family of snoRNAs containing the C (UGAUGA) and D (CUGA) box motifs. Multiple nearly identical copies of this snoRNA have been identified in Arabidopsis, and it is thought to function as a 2'-O-ribose methylation guide for 18S ribosomal RNA. The record is from Rfam. Lineage: Eukaryota; Viridiplantae; Streptophyta; Magnoliopsida; Malvales; Malvaceae.